UUGACCUCGGAUCANGUAGGGAAUACCCGCUGACUUAAGCAUAUCAUAAGCGGAGGAA
This 58-nucleotide ribosomal RNA is filed under the name Dothideomycetes sp. MUT 4899. RNAcentral's name for it is "partial 28S ribosomal RNA". The record is from RNAcentral. Lineage: Eukaryota; Fungi; Ascomycota; Dothideomycetes.